RNAcentral lists this ribozyme (116 nucleotides) under Aedes aegypti (yellow fever mosquito). RNAcentral's name for it is "drz-agam-1 ribozyme". It matches the Rfam family "drz-agam-1 ribozyme". The record is from Rfam by way of RNAcentral. Lineage: Eukaryota; Metazoa; Arthropoda; Insecta; Diptera; Culicidae.
UGCCCAACUACUCCUAUCCCUACCUCCUCGUAAUACUGGCCGGAGUACGAGUAACCUUAGGGAACAUCGGGUUACCAACCCCGGUGGGAACUUUGGUCGUAUGCUGACAGGGAAGG